CCUACGUGAGGCAGCAGUGAGGAAUAUUGGUCAAUGGGCGCGAGCCUGAACCAGCCAAGUAGCGUGAAGGAUGACUGCCCUACGGGUUGUAAACUUCUUUUAUAAAGGAAUAAAGUGAGGCACGUGUGCCUUUUUGUAUGUACUUUAUGAAUAAGGAUCGGCUAACUCCGGGCCAGCAGCCGCGGUAAUACGGAGGAUCCGAGCGUUAUCCGGAUUUAUUGGGUUUAAAGGGAGCGUAGAUGGGUUGUUAAGUCAGUUGUGAAAGUUUGCGGCUCAACCGUAAAAUUGCAAUUGAUACUGGCAGUCUUGAGUACAGUUGAGGUAGGCGGAAUUCGUGGUGUAGCGGUGAAAUGCUUAGAUAUCACGAAGAACUCCGAUUGCGAAGGCAGCUUACUAAACUGCCACUGACAUUGAUGCUCGAAAGUGUGGGUAUCAAACAGGAUUAGAUACCCUAGUAGUC
This 460-nucleotide ribosomal RNA is filed under the name uncultured bacterium. RNAcentral's name for it is "partial 16S ribosomal RNA". It matches the Rfam family "Bacterial small subunit ribosomal RNA", at positions 338 to 795 of the family's 1533-position model. The record is from RNAcentral.